AUACUGUCUCGUCUUUCAGCAACCCCAUGGGUUUGAACUUGAGAUGAUUCAUUUUCCUAAAAGCCUCUUCGCGCUGAGGGAAGGCAUGGGUGGCUCUGCGAGUUUUGAAGUGAGGGCUGCCUCUUCUCAGAGCUGCUGCGAGGGCCGGGGCCACCCUCCCAGGCGGUGUCUGUGGGCUGGGCAGCAGCUUUGCAGGUAGCCUGGGUCAUCCCCACUGGUCUGGGAGGCUCAGGGACACCAGCUCCUACUCCUGAUAGGGCCAAGGCACCUUCCUCACCUAAGAGCUGACUGUCUUGAAGAGUGGGCACAGAGGAGCCAGCAACCUGGGCGGUGUAGGCACCCGGGAGAACAUCUGCAGCUCAGUCUCAGAGAGAAGUCUCCUCCAACACAGCUAUUGUAGAGAUGGGGAAACGGGACCGAGAGGGAAGGGGGCGUGCCCAAAUCACCAGGCCUGGAAUGUUUUGAGCUUUGGGGGUGGAUCUCCCAGGAAACGUGUUUUAUGGCACCGCCGCCUCUGGUCACCCACCCCGAGGUGUGGCGGGCCUGGACAGCCAGCUUGACUGAGGGUCAGGCUACUGAAGCCAAACCUACUACUCAGGAAGGAGAAUCAGACCUUCUCCAGACACAGUUCAAAUCUGAGGACUCCCUUCUUUGGGCCUCAGUUUCCUCACCUGAAUUCCAAGGACCCUUCUAGCUCCUACACUCUGGGCCAAGCUUUUCCUCUGAGCCCCAGUCAGCCUAGAGGACCAGGGCUACAUCUUCCUUGGACAGAGACCCACCAUAGGGGCAGCAGGAGGUAGGGGUGGGGGUAGGCAAGGUUCCUGAAGGGAGGUGGAGCUGUCGUCAGAGAUGGUGUCCGCAGGCAGUGGGUGUGUCGUGGCUCUGCUACUACUUGCUGGGUGACCCUGUGCCAUUUCUUUCCCCACUCUGGACCUCAGUUUCCCUAUCUGUUCUAUGGAGAUGAGAUGCCUGCCUACGUAUUUGGGGACUUGGAUGUGUGUGUGGGGCAGUUGCAGUGUUUCUUAGGUGUGGUCCUGGGGCAGCCUGCACCACCCCAUAGAGAUUUCUGGGCCCCAUCCUAGGCUCACAGGACCGGAAUCUCCGAGAAUGAAGCCUGAGAACUUGCAUUUACACAGGCAUCCGGGUGAUUCUGACAUGAUUGAAAACACACUAAUAAUACGUGGCAAGUUCUUUAUAAAAGGGGACUGCUGAAUGGCCCAUGCCGAGCAGAAGCUGAUGGAUGACCCUCUGAACAAAACCCGUUACAACAACCUGAUCCACCCAGCCACCAGCUCCUCACAGCUCAUCUCCAUCGAGACGGAGCUCUCCCUGGCCCAGUGCAUCAGUUGCACAGUGGCCCCCACACACCCAGCCUGUCAAACCUACAGCCCUCAAGAAAGCUUUGGCCAAAUGAAUGAACAGCUCCGUCUCCCAGGAGGAAGCACAGCUGAAGGAUGCGGAGGACAGUAGAGUUGUGGAUGCUCCGCCCCCUCUCUCCACAGUCGGACCAGAAAGAAGGGGGCUUUCAGCCAGGCUCUCCCAGGCUGGGGUCUGAGUGUCACUGUCCAGCUAUUGGCUUCUUGCUUAA
This is a non-coding RNA of Macaca mulatta (Rhesus monkey), 1588 nucleotides long. The record is from RefSeq and is a predicted model, not a curated record. Lineage: Eukaryota; Metazoa; Chordata; Mammalia; Primates; Cercopithecidae.